Molecule: long non-coding RNA, 2415 nt
Filed under: Ornithorhynchus anatinus (platypus)
Lineage: Eukaryota; Metazoa; Chordata; Mammalia; Monotremata; Ornithorhynchidae
Description: lncRNA (ENSOANG00000045360.1)
Source: RNAcentral
GCAAGUCCUGAGAAAUGCUUGAUUUUCUCCCUCACACCUACUCCCUGCCCUGCUAAGGGGAGAGGAGGGAAGAGUCACAUUGUCCCUGACUGCCAGCCAGCUCACUCAUCAUCACCGCCUCUCAGCAGUGCUCAGCAGCUCCCUGCAGCCUGCCACCUGCCAAAGUCACCAGCUCAGCACUUCCAAAGGACUCAGCGGCAGCUAGGUCCAAGGGCAUUUUCCCCAUAGCACAGGCCGCCCCUUGGCUGCAGCUAGGGACAUGGUGUACCUUGGGAUUUAGCAACUACUUUAGCAGACCUCCCUGAAUCUCACCCGUGCUCCAGGCCUUCCUCCUGCCUUUCUAACUGCCUCUGCCCUGGAGAUAUGGAUCCAACAUGGAAGGAUUUCAAGCACACAGAACAAAGAUUCUUUCCUGGAGCCAAUGCCUUUCUGGGUCAAAAGCAGCACAGAGGAAGUUGAAGCAGAUGGGACAGAGCAGAGACCACAGAGCAAUCAAUCAGUUGUAUUUGUUGAGCACUUACUAUGUGCAGACCACUGUACUAAGCACUUGGGAGAGUACAAUACAACAGAAGGAAGGACAGAAUUCUCCUCCUAUCCCCUGUAAACCAGCAUCAACUGUGUUCAUGCUCAUUUAAGGAAGCUUGAUCUCAUGCAGUUCUCACACAGGGAAAGACUAAAUAGAAAAGCAACAUGGCCUAGUGAAAGAGCACAGGCCUGGGAGUCAGAGGACCUGGGUUUUAAUCUCAGCUCCGCCACUAGUUUGUUGUGUGACCUUGGGCAAGUCAUUUCAUUUCUCUGUGACUCAGUUACCUCAUCCAUCAAAUGGGGAUUAACACUGUGAGUCCCAUGUGGGACAAGGACAAUGUCCAACCCAAUUUGCUUGUAUUCAAAGCUGUGCUUAGUACAGUGCCUGGCACAUAGUAGUGCCUGGCAUAAAGUAAGUGCUUAACCAAUACCACCACUGAUGGAAUGAUGGAGGCUCAUAGCCACAAGAGGUAUUUCAAAGUCACUAAUAAACCUUGUAAUUUGCAUGUUGGUUUUGCAGUGGUUUAGCAUUUUUUUAGUACACAUAUUACUCUUCUCCUGGGAGUCGGACCUAUAUGAGAAUAAUGUAGACUGAAUACAUUUGUCUUUAUGCUUUGAAAAAGGUACAGGGUGCCUCAUUAUUUUCAUAAUGGUAUGUGUUAAGUGCUUCAUUUGUGUCAAACACUGUUCUAAGAGCUGGGGUAGGUACAACAACUCAAUUAGGUCGGGCACAGUCCCUGUCACUUAUAGGGGUCACAGUCUGAAUAGAAGGGAAAACAGGUAUUUAAUCCCCAUUUUACAGUUGAGGAAAGUUCAUGCUUGUAGAUCACAGCAGGUAUGUCAGCUGGCCCCCAUGCUUUUCCAUUUUUCGUAGCUGUGACUAUUAUGGUGACUUUCCCAGUAGUUGGAAGGAGCACUGUCUCGGUAUGAUGAAAGGUUUGGUAUGUUUUUCAGGGCCUCAUCUUCAGCAGUAGAAGUCGUGUUGAAGAGAACAUUGAGAACACUCCCUCCUUGUCUGUGAUGAGACUGAAUCCCUCUUUACUUUUCAGAGGAACCAUGAUGGCCUGAUCAGGGCCAUAUAAUAUCUUUGUUGAUGUGUAGAAGGUUUUUGAUUUGUGAUAAUCUGCAUAGCCCUGGAUCUCUUCUGCUGUGUCAUCUCACCACUGGUCAUGCCUGCUCCUCAAUUUGGUUUGCAAGUCAUGACACAGGUUUCUGAAAGCUUCAUUUUUUGUCUGGGUUUUUAGGUGCUGCUUUUGCAAUAGAUGCUUCACAACAAGAAGACCUUUAACCUCCAAGUCAUUUGCAUCUAUCUAAUCUCAUCUCCUGGCUGGGUCCAGUGACUUUAGGGCUGCUUGGAAUGAGCAUCACAGAGAAAUGGUCAUUCACUAUGUUUACUGAGGGUUAUGGUUUGAUUUUCUUAUUUCUUGUAGUGAUGUUGUUGCAGGACUCCUCACAGAUGAUUUGAUUCCCCAGGAGCUUAACAUUCAGGUGUUUUGGUGGUCUGGGGGCCAGUUCUUGAUGCAGUGGUACUGAGAACAGUAUAAUCUUGGAAUGUUUGAGGCGGUGGUCCAUCCAACAUUCUGCUUCACACAUGGCUGUGACGAUGUGUACGUCUCUGAAGUUCCUCUGCCAUACUAUGAAGUAAACCUUCGAACAAACCCAUAUAGAAUAAUAAAAAAGAUUAAUAAUAAUGGUAUUUGUUAAGCACUUACUAUGAGCCAGGCACUGCUAAAAGCAUUGGGGUAGACUCAAGGUAAUCGGGUUGGACACAGUCCCUGUCCCAUAAAGUGCUCACGGUUUUAAUCCCCAUUGUACAUAUGAGGGAACUGAGGCACAGAGAAGUGAGGUGACUUGCCCAAGGUCACCCAGCAGACAAACGGCAGAGAUGGG